This 431-nucleotide ribosomal RNA is filed under the name uncultured Pelagibacteraceae bacterium. RNAcentral's name for it is "bacterial SSU rRNA". It matches the Rfam family "Bacterial small subunit ribosomal RNA", at positions 29 to 505 of the family's 1533-position model. Lineage: Bacteria; Pseudomonadati; Pseudomonadota; Alphaproteobacteria; Candidatus Pelagibacterales; Candidatus Pelagibacteraceae. The record is from RNAcentral.
AACGUACGCUGGCGGCACGCCUAAUACAUGCAAGUCGAACGCAGUAGCAAUACUGAGUGGCAGACGGGUGAGUAUAAUGUGGGAAUAUGCCUUUUGGUUUGGAAUAACUCGGGGAAACCUGAGCUAAUACCGGAUAAGCCCUUACGGGGAAAGAUUUAUCGCCGAAAGAUUAGCCCGCACUUGAUUAGCUUGUUGGUGAGGUAAAAGCUCACCAAGGCAACGAUCAAUAGCUGUUCUUAGAGGAAGACCAGCCACAUUGGGACUGAGACACGGCCCAGACUCCUACGGGAGGCAGCAGUAGGGAAUCUUGCACAAUGGGGGAAACCCUGAUGCAGCGAUGCCGCGUGAGUGAAGAAGGCCUUUGGGUUGUAAAACUCUUUCGUCGGGGAAGAAAAUGACUGUACCCGAAUAAGAAGGUCCGGCUAACUUCG